GGCUGUAGCUCAGUGGUAGAGGAUCUGCCUCGCAUGCAGGAAGUCCUGGGUUCAAUCCCAGGAUCGUCA
Podarcis lilfordi (Lilford's wall lizard) is the source of this 69-nucleotide non-coding RNA. Lineage: Eukaryota; Metazoa; Chordata; Lepidosauria; Squamata; Lacertidae. The record is from the annotation of a GenBank genome assembly.